ACGUGCCUUUCACUACGGAAUAGUCCCGGGAAACUGGGUUUAAUACCGUAUACGCCCUUCGGGGGAAAGAAUUUCGGUGAGAGAUCGGCCCGCGUCUGAUUAGGUAGUUGGCGGGGUAAUGGCCUACCAAGCCGACGAUCAGUAGCUGGUUUGAGAGGAUGAUCAGCCACACUGGGACUGAGACACGGCCCAGACUCCUACGGGAGGCAGCAGUGAGGAAUCUUGGACAAUGGGGGCAACCCUGAUCCAGCCAUGCCGCGUGAACGAUGAAGGCCUUAGGGUUGUAAAGUUCUUUCAACGGUGAAGAUAAUGACGGUAGCCGUAGAAGAAACCCCGGCUAACUCCGUGCCAGCAGCCGCGGUAAUACGGAGGGGGUUAGCGUUGUUCGGAAUUACUGGGCGUAAAGCGCACGUAGGCGGACUAUUAAGUCAGGGGUGAAAUCCCGGGGCUCAACCCCGGAACUGCCUUUGAUACUGGUAGUCUAGAGUUCGAGAGAGGUGAGUGGAAUUCCGAGUGUAGAGGUGAAAUUCGUAGAUAUUCGGAGGAACAC
RNAcentral lists this ribosomal RNA (550 nucleotides) under uncultured bacterium. RNAcentral describes it as "bacterial SSU rRNA". It matches the Rfam family "Bacterial small subunit ribosomal RNA", at positions 124 to 709 of the family's 1533-position model. The record is from RNAcentral.